UGCCCCUAUCGUCUAGAGGCCUAGGACACCGCCCUUUCACGGCGGCGACACGGGUUCGAAUCCCGUUGGGGGUACGCA
This 78-nucleotide transfer RNA is filed under the name Micrococcus luteus SK58. Its description in RNAcentral is "tRNA-Glu". It matches the Rfam family "tRNA". From Rfam's summary of the family: Transfer RNA (tRNA) molecules are approximately 80 nucleotides in length. Their secondary structure includes four short double-helical elements and three loops (D, anti-codon, and T loops). The record is from RNAcentral. Lineage: Bacteria; Bacillati; Actinomycetota; Actinomycetes; Micrococcales; Micrococcaceae.